Elasticomyces elasticus is the source of this 103-nucleotide non-coding RNA. Lineage: Eukaryota; Fungi; Ascomycota; Dothideomycetes; Mycosphaerellales; Teratosphaeriaceae. The record is from the annotation of a GenBank genome assembly.
GACUAUAUGGUGUAAUGGAUAACAUCCUUACUUGUCGGCUGCCUUCAUCUGCAAGAGCACAAUCGAUUCGUAAGAGCCCUAGGUUCGAUUCCUAGUAUGGUCG